Callorhinus ursinus (northern fur seal) is the source of this 873-nucleotide long non-coding RNA. RefSeq lists it as uncharacterized. Lineage: Eukaryota; Metazoa; Chordata; Mammalia; Carnivora; Otariidae. The record is from RefSeq and is a predicted model, not a curated record.
CUUCCUCCACACCUCUCUCUGCCUAGCAAGCUUCUGCUUAUCCUUUGAACCCAGCCCAAACCGCACCUCCUCUUUGAAGCUUUUCAUGCGUCUCUAGGCAACAAGGUGUGACCAUCUGUAGUAGUUAAUAAUGUGAGCUUUGGAGCCAGGUUGCCUGCCUUCAAAUCCUGGCUUUGCCGUCUUCUUCGCUGUAUGGUCUUAGGCCUCCAGGGAAGUUCCCGACACCUGGGAAGAUGUUCCUAGUGGUCUGACAAAAAUGCCCCCCAAAACCACUUCAUGGCCAAUCUCAAAAGUAACCAUGCAAAAUAAACCCUGAAGUGUUAAGGGAUAAUGGGGUAUGAUGCCUGCAACUCGGUCCAGAGAAAAAACAAAUAAAGAUGGAAGAAGAGAACGAUAAUGCGAAUGUGUUAAAAUGUUCCCAAUCGCUGUACCGUGCUGGCAACUCUUCUCCCACCCACCCAAGUCACUGGAUGGUCAUUUCUGGACUGAGUAGCUCGUGGUACCAGUGUGGUUGUCUGUAUCCCAAAGAAUGCCCAGGUUCUGGCAUCGCCUGCUCCUGUGACCUCCAAGGGAGCCAAUGCCUCUGGAAAAUGCAAAUCUGGAAGGAUUCAGUUUCCAAUGUCCAAUAACCAGGAAUUGGGUGCAGAAGAAUGAUACGGAAAUGUGUGCAUGAUAAACUAUGAAAUGAACAGAGCGUUUUGACUCAAGAUAUUUUCCAUUUUUACUAAAAAAACAAAACACAGAAGACAAAAUAAAAAUGUAUCAUGAUGACAUGCACACAAAGGAAGAGAAGAACCUAACCCAAAAUAUCAUUACUUCCAAGUGCUGGAACUGUAGGAGGAAUUGUGCUUUCUUCUGUUUGCUUGUAUUUAU